RNAcentral lists this long non-coding RNA (3287 nucleotides) under Helianthus annuus (common sunflower). RNAcentral describes it as "hypothetical non coding rna". Lineage: Eukaryota; Viridiplantae; Streptophyta; Magnoliopsida; Asterales; Asteraceae. The record is from RNAcentral.
AUGGACCCAUAUGUUGUACAGUUUGGGUUUGAAGGGAUUGGGUUAGGGGCAUUGCUCGACACGUGGCGAGGGUGGGAUCUAUAAGGUAAUACUCAAAAACUAGGGGUGUGGUGUGGCGUGCUUAGCUUGGCGUGGCCAGCCAUGUGUAUUUUUUUUUGUUUGGCAACGGCUAGCCCCAACGGCUAGAUCGAACCAGCCAACCAAAGCCAGCCAUGUCACCUAGCCCUUCCGCUCCACGUCAGGCUCAAUCCCCACGCCAAAGGGGCAACACCAUGUCCAACGCUUGCCCGGGAUGAAGCAGCCGGCGUUGAACCCAAACCGCCGCCCCAACCCACACUCCACGGUCUAAAUCACAUACAUAACAUAGCAAUGCUUUUACUGCCAACUUAAGCUUUAACACAGAAUUAAGCAGCGUACAACUAUCAUUGCACAAUGUACAAUCUUACAACUUUGCCAUAAGGCUCCAUAAACAACAAUAUCCAUCUUAGGUGCCAAACCUUUCCAAUGACUUGUUUCUAAGAAAUCCAAUGCCCUUUGUGAGGCUGAUAUGAAGGAAAGAGAAGAAAGAAGGAGAGAUAAGAAGAAAUCCGCCACGUCUUGGAUGGCCACGAGUGGAGCCGAAUAGAAGGGGAGGAGAGACGGAGGAGAUGCAUCCAUGCGUGUUCGUGAGGCAAACUCUGACUUAUGUGGCAUAGCUUCGCCCGUAUGAUGCAUCCACUGGAGACGCUCUAAGUGUUCGGAUUGUAAGUUUUUUUUAUACAAGCACUAGGUUAGAAUUACGUGUAUUACACGGGUUGAAUAAAUAUAUAAUUAUAUAUACUAAAUAAUAAAAAAGUUAUAUCUUUAUAAAAAUCCUUGUAUUGCACUGCAUGGGUUGAAUAAACCCAUGAAUAAAUAUAAUGUAAUGAGUUAACACAAAUUGUCUUUAAGAUCUGUUUUAAAAAAAUAAACUUUGAUGUAUUAUUUCUUAUUAAAAUAUGAGAUGAUGAAGACGUAUUGGGAUCUUAUUUUAAUCACAAAAUCAAUAAUACAAUCUUAAAAUGUGAAAGGAUUAAGAUCUAUUGGAAUCCUAUUUAGUUACAUAUUGAAAAAAUUAUGUUUGAGACUAAAAAUGUCUAAUAAAUAAAACUGUAAUGUAAUACAUUGAACGAUUAGGAUAAACAUUAUUUAAAUUAUUUAUAAUGAGAAUGUUAGCUAUUGAAAUAUAUAUAUUUUUUUAAAUCGGUAUCAUGAUGUAGGUCUAAAAAGAAAACCAUCCACUUAAUCAAUCACAACCACUAAAAAGUUCAGAUGAUCUACAUUAGAGGCAACCUUAUUUUUAGGAUCCCAAGCUGCAGGCAGGGAAACAAAUAACAAAAGAGCCAACACUAAUAUUGUUUUCAUUAAAAGUGAUGUGUCAAUAUAUGAACCUUAAUCAGAAGUGCACAGAGCAAUUUGCGUUUGCUUCUCAUCAAUACAAAAUUUAUAAAAGGUGCUACAUUAUUUAAAGUUUGUGUGCAAAGAGAUUAUGGAAAAUAAAUAAAUUGAUAAAGCACAAAAUGUCACACCCCGGAUUUUCGACACCCUGGGCGUGUGACCAAUUGGUUGGUACCUGUUUUGAGUAGAUUGCAGCGGAAAAACGUUUUAUUUAAUUUUAUAGAAAACAGGUAAAUUGAUUAAAACAUACUUUUAUAAACGGGAUUUAAAUAUCCCUUAUUUGGACAAAACGUUUCUUUACAAAAGGUAAUCUUUUACACCAUUUUCAGUCUUCUACCAUUUUUACAAAAUUCUCGCCACAAGGUUUAUCAUGCCUAAGGAGUCAUGAUCCCUUUAGCAUCUACCCUUGCUAAAUACAUUCAUUCCUGAUUACCUGAAAAUGUUUUGAAAAUAAUACGUCAGCUUCGCUGGUGAAUAACAUUUAACAGACCGUAGUUUCAUGUAAGGCAUAAGAAAUAUUAAAGUUAUUUGCACAUAUACUAGUAAGCUACGCAUUCAGCAAGUAUCCUUACUCGUGUGUAUUACCGUGAAUAAAUACCCAGUUUUACGUACAAUUUACCUACCGUGAUUACAUACUCGGUUUUACGGUUUCGCAACAUGUACCAGUUUGAUCAAAUUUGAAACACACUCGCGUGUUCCAAAUGCUUCAGUAAACUUACUAUACAUGCUAAACAUUUUUUCCAUGCCAUAUUGAAAUUUGUAAAAAUUUUCAAAAUUUGUAAAAGAGUUAAUUGUAUUCACCUUUGAUAAAUCGUGCUUAGAGAAAGCUUAGAACUUCUACACCCCGUGGAUGGUCGACAUCAUCAGGGGCGGAACCAAAGUAAUCUUAGCCGUAGCACGGGCUACGGCUCAAGUCCAUAUUCCUAGUGUAUUUUUUUUAUUUUUUAUUUAUUUUAUACAAAGGAUACCCCUAAAUUAAUACAAGGAUACCCCUAAGACCACACGAUGUGGGCGAUCAAAAAUGGCGUUGUCGCUGCUCAACGUCGUUCACUCCGUCCCGUCCACGGUGUUAUUGAUUAGGCCGGGGAAUCUCCACCGGUGUAGAAGAGUUUUUUGCAUCGACGUGGCACGUGGUUAAUGGACGUGGACGUUAGUCGUUUAACCCCAACAGUUAACUUUUAUAAUUAAAAAAAAAACUUACCUUUUUUAAAAGUUCUAAUUUUACACUAUAAAUACAACCCACUUCUUCAUUUUUAAAUUACAAACUCCACCACUUCACCUAAAUUUAUACAAAUUCUCAACGCCGUUCCACUUCACCCAAAAAAAAACCGAGGAUGACAAUCGUUGCGUGGACCGAAGAAGAUUGCACUUUGCGAGUCGUGGGUCGAAGCUUUGAGGCACCACACGCCGGAUAGGUGCUCGAGUGGUCUUUUUUGGAGGACAACCCAACAACACUUUCAAGCCUAUACGGGUGAGAACAACCGAACUGUCGACUCCCUCUCAUAUCGUUUUAGGACAAUCUGUCUCGAUUGCGAAAGAUUCGAGAUGAUCCACACCACCGUGGAGCUCGAGGGUGGUGAUCUCGGGGAGGACGACAUCAUUCAAGUGGCUCUCAUCAGCUUUAGGCACGUGCACCACCGUGAAUUCAAGCUCCGCUCGGCGUGGGAAUUCAUUAGAUUUUUUAUUUAAACUAGGAUUGCGACCCGCCGCAAUGCGGCGGGGAUUCUUUAAUUAUAACUAAGUGGAUCUAGGACCCGCAUGUUAUGUUAAACCUGUCAAACGUGGAAAAAUAGACGAUGUAAAAAUGUUCACCCACACACGCACGUUGCGUCGUGUUAACUCGCAAAAUUUAGAAUGAAACGUAAAAAUGU